UAAGAGCUUAAAAUCAAAGCUAUAUAUCCUACUAUAUCCUGCUAUAUAUUAAUUGAAAAGUAAUUUAAGAUAUUUUUGGUUAUAUGUCGAUCAUUUAUGAAAUCUUAGAAAAUCUGUUAUAAAUUGAUUGUCAAUAAUUUUCAAUUUCAAUUUAUUUUUAUUUAUUUUAAUUAGAUUUAAAAGAAAAAAAUAAGUCUAUUUAAUAUUACUUGCCAAAAUAUCAACAAAAUAUUUAAAAUAUUUAUUUAUGGUAACUAAUUGUUGAAACUAUACAAAGAGUAAUAAUAUUUGAUCAAUUUUUAUAUAUUUAUAAACUACAUAAAAUAGUAAACAAAAAAGUUUAUUAAAAUCGAUAUAAUUAUUUUAUAUUCAUAUAUAUAUAGCCUUUUAUUUGUAUAUAAAGUAUUAUAAUAACUAUUAAUAUCUAAUAAAAUUCAUACAUGCUUUAUAAAUGAUUUAUAAAAAUCAUGAAUACAUUUAUAAAAUUAUUUAUCUUGGCUUAUCAUAUUUUUUAAAUUAUGAUAAGAGGUUUUAAUUUACUUACUAGAUUUUGAUCCGCACUUAAGAAGCGCGGGUUUGAGGUUUUUAAUCUUUAACGAAUUUUAAAUCCAGUAUAAUUUUUUUUGUUUCACAUUAUAACUAUUGACUUUUAAUGUUUUUAUUAUCCAUUAUUUUUUAUAGUGUGAGAUUUGUUUGAAAUAGAUUUAAAGAUGAUAUGUAUGUUUUUAGUAGUAAAGAUAUUCAUUAUUAAAAAUAUAUAUUUUAAUAAUUGAACUGUAUUAACCAAUAUUUUGAAAAUCUGAUCGGACCUUACGAUCGAACCAGUCGGAUCCUGGCUCGCUCUUCUAACUGGGUCUGAGUUGUGCUAAAAACUGAAUUUGAGUUAAAUCAGACCUAGUUUAAUGUUAAAACCCAGUUUUCGCAAAUUCAAGUUAAAAAUAAAAAAAAAUUACAAAUUUUAAUAAGAUUUCAUCAAAAUUUAAUAUUUUUUCUACUACAUAUAUAAAUAAAUUAGUUUUAAAAUGGGACAUUAAUAUUUAAAAAUAUGUACUUUAAUAUUAAUCCAUUUGUUGACUAUUUCCUUAAGUUAUUUUCUGUAUUAAAAAAAUAAUAAUAAAAUCUUUAGGUAAAAUAUCGUUGUUAGUUAGAAUACUUCUUUUUAUACAUUAAGGAAAUUAUGAGUUGAUGUAUGGAAUAUUACUUUGGCUUAAAAAUAUGCUGAAUUAUAUGGUGUUAGUUUAACUAAUAGGUCCAAACAACCUUGCAUAAGUAGAUUUUUUAAGAAUGCUUCCCUUUUAAUAGUAUAGAUACAAGGUUAUAAAUUAAUUUAUAAAAUAUAUUUUUAAAUUUCAUUUAUAUUAAAUGAUAAAUCAAUUAAUUUAUUUUUUCUUAGGUGACGAUCAUAUAUAAAGUUUGAGAAAAAAUAUUAUAAUUUGACUUGUUAAUGGAUUUUUAAUUUUUAUUUAUUUUAUGAGUACAAAAAUUAGUUCUAGAAAGAGUUUUAUCAGUAUCCAAACGACCUAAAUAUAUUGCACAAAAUAAUUUAUGGUAAUUAAAUAUGUGAUUUAUAUAAUAUAUAUAAUGCUUCAUAAAAUCAUUUUUAGCAAUCAGGUAUUUCUAAACUAUAUAAAAUAUUUCAAAAGUUUCACUAUUAUAUACCUUCAAAACUUAAGUAAUUUUAUUAAAAACUGAAUCAUGAAUAUUAUACAUAUCAUAUUUAUCUUUUUUAAAACAAUUAUUCUUAGAAUAAAUAUUUAACAAAAAGCACAUAAUGAUAAAAACAUAUUUUAAUUUGAAACAUUAUAAUAAAUAUAUUGUUACAAAACAUUCAAACCCGCGAAACCGCAGGCACCCACCUAGUACAUAUUUAUAUUUUGAUAUAUGCGUUGAAUAUAUAUUGAAACAUUAAUAUUUUAAUUUUGAACUCUUCAUUGUUUUUUUAAAGAGAAAUUACUUAUAAUGACUCAGAUUAUACUUGAAAUGACUAGAAUAACUCAUAAACUUUUGCAAUUACUAGACUAACUCACAUGACUAAUGAAAGUACUAAAAACCCAUCCUUCCUUUUCAUAUUCACUUUUUUUUUUGGUUUUUUUUUUGAAAUUUCUUUUCAUAUUAGAUAAUUAUUUUAUUUUCCCCUAAAAAGAAUCCUCAAUCUCUCGUUAUCCUCUCCGACGAAAGAAACGUCGAAGACGAAGGAGGGUUCUCUUCACUUCCGUCUCCGGUGAACACUCCUCUGGGACAGGCUCCUUCCGUUUCGUCAUCUCCACCUCAACUCGCCGUCGUCUGUCAUACAAAAAGAACCCUAAAUCCGAUUUCACUUUUUUGUCAAAAUCCACCUUUCAAUCUAAGAAAAUUGAACCUGGAUGUUUCAGACAGAACAUAAUUGGCGUUACUAUCUAUGCUUCCUUAGGAGAGGAUGCUUUGAUUUACUCACUCAAUGUGGUUGGUGUGUAAGUUUGUUUUUGUUACGUGAAUUACAGGGAUGUUUCAGACAAACCAAUGCCUCGAGGGGAGAUUGUGGUAGGUGAUAACUGUGUAACAGCAGGUUACUUCAACAAUCAAGCAAAAACCGAUGAGGUUUACAAGGAAGUUAAGCAGAUGCAGCUUUGUUUCAAGUAAUUACGUUGACAACAUUAUGGUACACACAGACCCAAUGAACAGCUACUGUGUAACUCUUGUUGUAGCAUCAUACGGAGCAUUAGAGAAAUGGGGCAGAGCAAGCAGGAGUUAAAUACAGCGACUUCUCUGAGCUAUGCGAGAACGGUGAUGCAGUAAACGAGGUUCAACAAUCUCUUACCAAGGCGGCAAAGCUAGAAAAAUUUCAUGUACUUAGGGUUUUGACUUUACUUUUACUAAUAAAGUUUGAUCAUGAUGGGGUUGUUUUCUCCCCUUUUAAUACACUAAUUUUCAUUCCAACUUUUAUAUAACGGAGCAAUUUAAGAGAGUAAAA
Brassica napus (rape) is the source of this 2950-nucleotide long non-coding RNA. RefSeq lists it as uncharacterized. The record is from RefSeq and is a predicted model, not a curated record. NCBI's taxonomy places the organism in Eukaryota, Viridiplantae, Streptophyta, Magnoliopsida, Brassicales, Brassicaceae. The transcript has 2 exons.